Molecule: ribosomal RNA, 484 nt
Filed under: uncultured bacterium
Lineage: Bacteria
Description: partial 16S ribosomal RNA
Rfam family: Bacterial small subunit ribosomal RNA
Source: RNAcentral
AUUGAACGCUGGCGGCAGGCCUAACACAUGCAAGUCGAGCGGCAGAGGGGGGUUUGCCCCUGGAGCCAGCGGCGGACGGGUGAGUAAUGCAUAGGAAUCUGCCUGGUAGUGGGGGAUAGCGUGCGGAAACGGGCGCUAAUACCGCAUACGACCUGAGGGUGAAAGCGGGGGAUCGUCGGACCUCGCGCUAUCAGAGGAGCCUAUGUCGGAUUAGCUAGUUGGUGGGGUAAAGGCCUACCAAGGCGACGAUCCGUAGCUGGUCUGAGAGGACGACCAGCCACACUGGAACUGAGACACGGUCCAGACUCCUACGGGAGGCAGCAGUGGGGAAUUUUGGACAAUGGGCGAAAGCCUGAUCCAGCCAUGCCGCGUGUGUGAAGAAGGUCUUCGGAUUGUAAAGCGCUUUAGUUUGGGAGGAAGGGCUGUAAGCUAAUACCUUGCUGUUAUGACGUUACCGGCAGAAUAAGCACCGGCUAACUACGUG